Alligator mississippiensis (American alligator) is the source of this 4936-nucleotide long non-coding RNA. RefSeq lists it as uncharacterized. The transcript is spliced from 3 exons. The record is from RefSeq and is a predicted model, not a curated record. Lineage: Eukaryota; Metazoa; Chordata; Crocodylia; Alligatoridae.
GGGCAGCAGGAAGAGGAAGUGAACACGCAGCCCAUGCUGGCUAUGUGCCAGAGAGCCAUGCCCUAGCACUGUCUGGCUUCUAGCCUGAGCCACUGCAGGCAUUUGGCUGCAUUUCCUGAAUCAAUGAAAAGAGGAGGAUGACUUUUGUCCCAGGAAGUGCAUAGCGCCACAGAGCUGAGAAUUCUGCAGACGUUUUGGGGAGGUAACUGGGAGUCUCUUGACCUCUGUGACUUUUACUAAUAAAAGCUUCUUCCAUAACAAACCAAGAGACCAUGAUGAAAUGGAGUUUCCAGAACCAUCACGGUGGAGAAGAAAUAGAACUGAAUUAAACCACCAUCAUUAAAGAAAAGAUUUAAACACCCGCCCUUGUGCUUUCCAUCAGGAUAUUCAAAACUUCUCAAAGCAGGGAGAGAUAUCAGGCAUACUACAUUGAAAAGAGAAGACUCAGACUGAGAUUUUGGCAUUAUUUACCUCUGAAUAUAGUGGCCUGCAUCCUCUCUGUGGGCAUGGUGAGCUUGAUGACUGGUUGCUAAGCAUCAGUGGCUUGAUUAAAAACGAGAAGAAUGCUUGAAAAGAGAAGCCCUUAUCCACAAAUAUGUACCACUUCUGUCAGGAACUCUUCCUGACAGAAUCACUCUUCCUGCUCUUCCCAAUAGCAACAAUAAGACAGAUGAAGAUGAAGGGGAAAAGAAGAAGGGAGAAUAUUCAAUGAAAUAUUUACAAGUCUAACAUCCAAAGCUAUUCAUUGUGUUAAAGAUGAACUAUAUAACAAGAGCUUUUGUGCACUGACAGAUGGCUGGAGACAGAACAGCUCUUGACUAACAGAUCUCUUCACAAGUGGGGCAACAAGACUCGGUCAUGUUUGCUAGAUGUAACUCCCUCUGUUCUACAAACAAGCUCUUUCCUUGCUAUUGCCUAACUAUAUCGCUGCAAAAAUUUGUGCAGCAGAUGUAACCUUUGCCCUGUAAAUUUGACUUGCUUGCUGCUGUUGCUUCCCACACAUUACACAUGUAAUGUCUACAUAGGAGAGCCUUUCCAAAGUUUCUGGUUAUCUCUUGCUUAUCAAUCUUAGCUCAUCUUAACUCUGCUUUACAAUUAGAGUCCUCUUACCUUAGUGCAUAUCUGACUUCCCAGAUUUCAAACUUACUUCUUUUUUUCUAAAACCUGCCAUUAACUACAACACAAACAUAUAUAUAAAACAUUUUAAAAGUAGGAGAUCACAUUCUGUUUCCUGGCUAAACCCUGAUGUUUGGGGCUAUCAGGAAAUAGGGAAGAGAAAUUGUGAGCCAUACUGUAGCCACUAUGGAACCAGUAAAACAGAAAUCUUAGGAGCCAGUUAUUUAUACAGCCAUGUAAGUGUACUUAGAGAUUUCCCAUCAGGAGUACACGGCAAACGGAUAGUUUGCAGUUCUGCCCAUCAACUUCUGUUAAUCUAAAGGCCUCAUACGAAGCCUAACAGAGUCUAUGGAAAAGUUCCCACUGACCAGAGAUCUGAUCCCAUAUGACAAAUCCUAUUAUUUUCUUAGUUACUGACUGAGAGCUAUUUGAUUGUGAACUGGAAAGAUUUUCCCUUGCUGUUCUUAUGAAGUGAGCUACAUUUAUUAAGUAAGAAACAAUUAAAAAACAGCAUGUUUUUCUUGGAUCAUUACAAUCCAAGUAUUUUAGGGCAGAAUGCUCUCCUAAUGUAUGUAUGGCUCCACAUAUUGUUGUUUUUUUUUGCCCCAACAGUCUACAAUGAAGAGAAGACGUAUUGAUUUUUGCUGGUGGGAAUUCUCCAAGGAACUGUUUUAGUGGAUGCCUCACUGUUUUGGCUGCUACUUCAAAUAUCCAGCUUGCAUUGCAACAUCUAAAAUGUUCUGCAAUAAAACUUAGUAUAUGAAACUGCAGUUGAAUAGGUAAAAAGUAGCUAUUUUUAUCCACAAAGGCACACUAGAUAAAUUACUGAACCUACUUUCUCCUUUACUUAAUCUUUUGUUCUUCAUUACCUGUCUCUUGUUCGUUCUACUCACCAACAUUAUUGGUAUGUUGUAUGAAGGUAAAAUGCUUCAGUGGCUCAAAUUGCUGAUGUCCAGUAGAAGGUGCUGGGGGCUGAUGUGGCUCUGAAAGUUAAGCUCUUAUUUUACAGCCAUCGCUAUCACUGUCUUUUAUCUUUGCCUUUUUUUCUAACACAAAAUGAAAACAAAUUGUGAAAUGUCAACUUUUCUCAUGAAAUGGAAAUUCCAAGGUUUAACCAACUCUACUCAUGCUUGUGUUUAAGCAUGUGAGUAAUUGCAUUGCCAUUCAGAAAGGUACUUAGGCACACCAAUUAAGGUUAAGCGUUUGCAUAAGUGUUUAGCUACUAAAUCCCAGUGUGUAUCAGUAGGUCCUACUUGUAUCUUGAUUGGCUCAGUCAUUGACUCUGCCGCCCUUCUGCGCUACUCCGAAAAAGCCAAACUACACUCUGGGAGCUGAGACCACUCUCAUGUUUGGAUGUGAAAAACACUUGAGUUUUGUGAGUUUAAAUCUUCAAACACGGUUGUGUGUUUUGUCCCAUUUGGAUAAAUUUUUGCAUGCAAUAGCUGGGAAUGGGUAAGUGCUCAACACUAGAGAGUCCCAUACAGAAACAUCAAAGAACUUCUGAAUCAGUCUGACAGGGCAGCAUAAGGAUGUUAUUCCCUCACCCACAACUCCUGGAUUUUACCUGUGGUCUUUUUACUCAUUGUCACUGUAAUGAAAUGAAAAGAGCAGUUAAGGAAAACCUGGAACCAAUAGGCCAUUGGCGUUUUUUGCAUGUGAAAAUUCUAGGACAGGGCAGUCCAGAUGGCAUCCUGCCAAGUUGCCACCCCCAGGCUCAUGCCCAGCUGCUCUUCCCAUCCCCCCCAUUGUUCCCGGUUCCCCUUCCCUCCUCUGGCUUUUACUGCCUGCCCCCACCCCAGGGGGUGAAGCAAUGCAGCACAGUGCAGCCAGCUGAGCUGAGGGCCUGGGGCAGGUGCAUGAUGGAGCUGUGGGGUGCACAGGUGCAUGGUGCAGCGGUACAGCAGUGGGAUGCGGGGGGGCGGGAUCUCCAGGCAUGCAAUGCAGAACUGAAAGAGAAGGCAGGUGUGCAGUACAGUAGGGGUGGGGGAGUUGUCUGUGCAGCAUGCCAUCCAGGGUGCAAUGCCUGUGGCUCAUCCUGGUGUCGUCCACGGGUGUGUAGCCCCUGCUGAUGCAGACAAUUCUAAGACAAUAAAUUAAUACCUGCUUGUAGGAAAGACUCUUUUCACAGUGAAACAUGGAAGCCCACUUGUGCCAUGAGCCAUGCCUCAAUAACUCAGAGUAUUAGAGAUGAAAGAGACCAGUGGUUCUUUUGUCUUGCAGUUGGUAAGCCAAUGCCCAACUCCCAUUGUAAAGUGAUACCAUCAUGGAAAGUCAACACAAAGAUACUGACUUCUCUUUCAAACAAAUGAGUCAAUAGGUCUUUAUGGCAGAUCUCUGCUAUCAUAAUUUGUCAAUAGUUCAUGCUGGCCAACCCCCACUCCUCCCCCCCUCCCCCCCAUUUUUAAAGGAAUGAGAAAACGUAUGACAUCUAUUAUUGCAGUGAUAUAAAACCUAUAGGUAAUGAUGUGCACAAAAACACUGCAGUUGUAGUUCAGCAACUUUUUCUUUCUAAAAGAGAAGUGAUGAGUGCUACCUUGGUCUUUGCCUUCUUGAUAUUGGAUUGCUUAUCCUUUCAUUUGUAGUUUUCAAUUCUACAAUACAGUAUUUUUGAGGGAAUUAAUUUAAAGUGAGUUCAUAAUUGGCAGACGUCAAGACUAGGGUUCUCUACCAGCAGAACACAUCCAACAUGGCAGCUCACUUAUGAUCCCUUGGUAAUGAGGCUCAGUCCUGCUUCUAAGUGAAAGAUUAUAGCUCAGUUUCCAUGUCUAUUCAACCUUUGCUGUCUUCAAUGACAUGGCCAACAGGUUGGGAACUGUGAAAACAUCCUUCAGACUAAAUGCUAGGCAAUUCAUUUCAUAAUGCACUUGCUCACUUGGGCCAAACUUAAAUCAGUAUUUUGAAAAAAAAGACCAUAACAUAUUUCAGCACUUUAAGCCAGAUGGCUCUAACGUGAAUAUUUUGAGGUAGAGCUAGAGAAUCUGGCUUGAAAAUGUGUUUAAUUUGUACAUGUAUGCAGCUGUGUGUCCUGUUGCCCUAGUUAUGAACUUUAUGUAGGAAAGCAGCCCUUUUAGGACAGAAUUUCAGUAUAUGAUUAUUGUCAAGCAUUUGCUUAAGUUUUAUCCUGAGCAUGAAUGCACUUAAGCAUAUGUUUACAUGCUCUCCUAAACUGGAACCUAUAUGCACAGACUGGUUUUUAUGCAAUUGCAAGAAUUAUAUUUGUAAAUCAUGGUAAUUGCUCAUGCAAAACAUGCACGUAUAUUUUUACAUUAAUAGCUGUGUACAGUUAUAAAAGGUUAACCUGCCUUUCAGAAAAUGACUAUUGAUCCUGACUGCUUCACUUUUUGAGUGUCCUGUUCAAGAUACCUGAUGGUGGGACCUAUAUUUAGAAAUAGCACCCACACUUGGAACAUUAGGCUUUUAAGUAAGCUCAAGUUAGGCACAGAAACUAAGACUCUCCAAAUCACUAGUUGUCUAUAGAAAAACUGUGUUUAUAUUACUCCCACACCAGUAAUGUUUAGUUCUGUAAGGAACGAUGGACACCUUUGAAGCAAAGUGUUUAUCCAUUUAAAUAUAUAAGCAAACAAACAAACAUUUUAUAUAUAUAUAUAUAUAUAUAUAUAUAUAUAUAUAUAUAAACACACACACACACAAACGCACUACAGUUUAAGAAGCAAAAUAAACUGGAAUUCUUUAAUUUAGUCUAUGCAAUAAUUUCACAUUUCCUGUCUAUCCUUUCACUGAGACUAUAUUGAUCUUCCAGGCACUGGAAGAUCUCAUGGUCUGCAUACCUACAAAGUCUUUUCCUCAUCCUCUUGUUUGU